This is a long non-coding RNA of Poecile atricapillus (Black-capped chickadee), 453 nucleotides long. RefSeq lists it as uncharacterized. The record is from RefSeq and is a predicted model, not a curated record. NCBI's taxonomy places the organism in Eukaryota, Metazoa, Chordata, Aves, Passeriformes, Paridae. The transcript has 4 exons.
AUGUGUGUUCGAUGCAGAGCCCAGCAAAGAGUGCCUAGUGAUUCUUCAAUUAAAAAUGUUCUUAGACCUUGCUCUCCUCUUUUUCAACCCUAUCAGCUCCAUGACAACUGUCAGCACAUUUUUCAGAUUUAAUGAUCAUUAAAGAGCUCCACUCCAGUAUCAGAGCUGCUCCAUGGCUGGUGCUACUCACGUCUGCCUUGGGAGCCUCACCUGUCCUGUACAGCUUCCAGCAUCAACUGUGCUAUGAGAGGCAAAAGAUGCAUAAAGGAACUAGACAGAGGAAAUGCAAGGAAGCCAGUUGGAUUUGCAUGAGUUUGGAGGGAUAUGAUGGAGAAUCAAACUCAGCCAUUCCAAGUGCAUCUACUCUGGCAGUUUAAGUGGACUGCAAGAGAACAGCCAAGAGGUGAAAUAAAGACAUAUGUGAGUUACAGAACACCAGUGUGUAUGACUUGG